Molecule: non-coding RNA, 26 nt
Filed under: Homo sapiens (human)
Lineage: Eukaryota; Metazoa; Chordata; Mammalia; Primates; Hominidae
Source: RNAcentral
UGAGCGCCGCUGUCAAGUCCCAUUCC